CCUACGGGAGGCAGCAGUCGGGAGUCUUGCACAAUGGGGGAAACCCUGAUGCAGCGACGUCGCGUGUGGGAUGAAGUAUUUCGGUAUGUAAACCACUUUUGCGGGGGGCGAACACAAUGACGGUACCCCGCGAAUAAGCCCCGGCUAACUACGUGCCAGCAGCCGCGGUAAUACGUAGGGGGCGAGCGUUGCUCGGAUUGACUGGGCGUAAAGCGCGCGUAGGCGGUCCAUUAAGUGUGUGGUGAAAUGCAGAGGCUCAACCUCUGUCCCGCCGCGCAAACUGGUGGUCUUGAGAUUGGGAGGGGGAUGCGGAAUUCCUGGUGUAGCGGUGAAAUGCAUUGAUAUCAGGAGGAACACCGGCGGCGAAGGCGGCAUCCUGGCUUAUAUCUGACGCUGAGGCGCGAAAGCGUGGGUAGCAAACGGGAUUAGAUACCCCGGUAGUCCACGCCGUAAACGAUGGAUACUAGGUGUGGGAGGUCUCGACCCCUCCCGUGUCGUAGCAAACGCGUUAAGUAUCCCGCCUGGGGAGUACGGCCGCAAGGUUGAAACUCAAAGGAAUUGACGG
RNAcentral lists this ribosomal RNA (565 nucleotides) under uncultured bacterium. Its description in RNAcentral is "bacterial SSU rRNA". It matches the Rfam family "Bacterial small subunit ribosomal RNA", at positions 338 to 916 of the family's 1533-position model. The record is from RNAcentral.